AUUGAACGCUGGCGGCAGGCCUAACACAUGCAAGUCGAACGAGUGGCGGACGGGUGAGUAAUGUCUGGGAAACUGCCUGAUGGAGGGGGAUAACUACUGGAAACGGUAGCUAAUACCGCAUACCAUAAGAUGUGCCCAGUUGGGAUUAGCUAGUUGGUCGGGUAACGGCUCACGAAGGCGACGAUCCCUAGCUGUUCAGAGAGGAUGACCAGCCACACUGUAAGUGUGACACGGUCCAGACUCAUACGUGAGGCAGCAGUGGGGAAUAUUGCACAAUGGGCGCAAGCCUGAUGCAGCCAUGCCGCGGCGAUUAAGAAGGCCUUCGGGUUGUAAAGUACUUUCAGCGAUGAGGCGUUACCCGCAGAAGAAGCACCGGCUAACUCCGUGCCAGCAGCCGCGGUGAUUC
RNAcentral lists this ribosomal RNA (406 nucleotides) under uncultured bacterium. Its description in RNAcentral is "partial 16S ribosomal RNA". It matches the Rfam family "Bacterial small subunit ribosomal RNA", at positions 30 to 526 of the family's 1533-position model. The record is from RNAcentral.